UACGUAGGUGGCAAGCGUUGUCCGGAAUGACUGGGCGUAAAGGGUGCGUAGGCGGUCUAUUAAGAUAGAAGUGAAAUCCUUGGGCUCAACCCAAGAACUGCUUUUAUUACUGAUGGACUCGAGUGAUGGAGAGGUAAAUGGAAUUCCUAGUGUAGCGGUGGAAUGCGUAGAUAUUAGGAGGAACACCAGAGGCGAAGGCGAUUUACUGGACAUUAACUGACGCUGAUGCACGAAAGCGUGGGGAGCAAACAGG
RNAcentral lists this ribosomal RNA (253 nucleotides) under uncultured bacterium. Its description in RNAcentral is "partial 16S ribosomal RNA". It matches the Rfam family "Bacterial small subunit ribosomal RNA", at positions 524 to 776 of the family's 1533-position model. The record is from RNAcentral.